UCGGGAAUAUUGCGCAAUGGAGGAAACUCUGACGCAGUGAUGCCGCGUGCAGGAAGAAGGUUUUCGGAUUGUAAACUGCUUUAGACAGGGAAGAAAAAAGACAGUACCUGUAGAAUAAGCUCCGGCUAACUACGUGCCAGCAGCCGCGGUAAUACGUAGGGAGCAAGCGUUAUCCGGAUUUAUUGGGUGUAAAGGGUGCGUAGACGGGAAAUCAAGUUGGUUGUGAAAUCCCUCGGCUUAACUGAGGAACUGCAACCAAAACUAAUUUUCUUGAGUGCUGGAGAGGAAAGUGGAAUUCCUAGUGUAGCGGUGAAAUGCGUAGAUAUUAGGAGGAACACCAGUGGCGAAGGCGACUUUCUGGACAGUAACUGACGUUGAGGCACGAAAGUGUGGGGAGCAAACA
RNAcentral lists this ribosomal RNA (403 nucleotides) under uncultured bacterium. RNAcentral's name for it is "bacterial SSU rRNA". It matches the Rfam family "Bacterial small subunit ribosomal RNA", at positions 355 to 774 of the family's 1533-position model. The record is from RNAcentral.